This is a transfer RNA of Camelus ferus (Wild Bactrian camel), 72 nucleotides long. It matches the Rfam family "tRNA". From Rfam's summary of the family: Transfer RNA (tRNA) molecules are approximately 80 nucleotides in length. Their secondary structure includes four short double-helical elements and three loops (D, anti-codon, and T loops). Further hydrogen bonds mediate the characteristic L-shaped molecular structure. tRNAs have two regions of fundamental functional importance: the anti-codon, which is responsible for specific mRNA codon recognition, and the 3' end, to which the tRNAs corresponding amino acid is attached (by aminoacyl-tRNA synthetases). tRNAs cope with the degeneracy of the genetic code in two manners: having more than one tRNA (with a specific anti-codon) for a particular amino acid; and 'wobble' base-pairing, i.e. permitting non-standard base-pairing at the 3rd anti-codon position. NCBI's taxonomy places the organism in Eukaryota, Metazoa, Chordata, Mammalia, Artiodactyla, Camelidae. The record is from Rfam.
GAAGGUAUAGUUCAGUGGUAAAGUGCGUGUUUAGCAUGCACAAAGUCCUGGGUUCAAUCCCCAGGGCCUCCA